RNAcentral lists this ribosomal RNA (118 nucleotides) under Salmo salar (Atlantic salmon). Lineage: Eukaryota; Metazoa; Chordata; Actinopteri; Salmoniformes; Salmonidae. The record is from RNAcentral.
GCUUACGGCCAUAUCAGCCUGGGUACGCCCGAUCUCGUCUGAUCUCGGAAGCGAAGCAGGGUCGGGCCUGGUUAGUACUUGGAUGGGAGACCCCUGGGAAUACCAGGUGCUGUAAGCA